RNAcentral lists this ribosomal RNA (497 nucleotides) under uncultured bacterium. RNAcentral's name for it is "partial 16S ribosomal RNA". It matches the Rfam family "Bacterial small subunit ribosomal RNA", at positions 28 to 507 of the family's 1533-position model. The record is from RNAcentral.
GAUGAACGCUGGCGGCGUGCCUAAUACAUGCAAGUCGAGCGAACAGACGAGGAGCUUGCUCCUCUGACGUUAGCGGCGGACGGGUGAGUAACACGUGGAUAACCUACCUAUAAGACUGGGAUAACUUCGGGAAACCGGAGCUAAUACCGGAUAAUAUAUUGAACCGCAUGGUUCAAUAGUGAAAGACGGUUUUGCUGUCACUUAUAGAUGGAUCCGCGCCGCAUUAGCUAGUUGGUAAGGUAACGGCUUACCAAGGCAACGAUGCGUAGCCGACCUGAGAGGGUGAUCGGCCACACUGGAACUGAGACACGGUCCAGACUCCUACGGGAGGCAGCAGUAGGGAAUCUUCCGCAAAGGGCGAAAGCUUGACGGAGCAACGCCGCGUGAGCGAUGAAGGUCUUCGGAUCGUAAAACUCUGUUAUUAGGGAAGAACAAAUGUGUAAGUAACUAUGCACGUCUUGACGGUACCUAAUCAGAAAGCCACGGCUAACUACGUG